UAUUAGGGAAGAACAAAUGUGUAAGUAACUAUGCACGUCUUGACGGUACCUAAUCAGAAAGCCACGGCUAACUACGUGCCAGCAGCCGCGGUAAUACGUAGGUGGCAAGCGUUAUCCGGAAUUAUUGGGCGUAAAGCGCGCGUAGGCGGUUUUUUAAGUCUGAUGUGAAAGCCCACGGCUCAACCGUGGAGGGUCAUUGGAAACUGGAAAACUUGAGUGCAGAAGAGGAAAGUGGAAUUCCAUGUGUAGCGGUGAAAUGCGCAGAGAUAUGGAGGAACACCAGUGGCGAAGGCGACUUUCUGGUCUGUAACUGACGCUGAUGUGCGAAAGCGUGGGGAUCAAACAGGAUUAGAUACCCUGGUAGUCCACGCCGUAAACGAUGAGUGCUAAGUGUUAGGGGGUUUCCGCCCCUUAGUGCUGCAGCUAACGCAUUAAGCACUCCGCCUGGGGAGUACGACCGCAAGGUUGAAACUCAAAGGAAUUUGACGGGGACCCGCACAAGCGGUGGAGCAUGUGGUUUAAUUUCGAAGCAACGCGA
This 538-nucleotide ribosomal RNA is filed under the name Staphylococcus capitis. RNAcentral's name for it is "bacterial SSU rRNA". It matches the Rfam family "Bacterial small subunit ribosomal RNA", at positions 434 to 964 of the family's 1533-position model. Lineage: Bacteria; Bacillati; Bacillota; Bacilli; Caryophanales; Staphylococcaceae. The record is from RNAcentral.